GGAAUCUUCGGCAAUGGACGAAAGUCUGACCGAGCAACGCCGCGUGAGUGAAGAAGGUUUUCGGAUCGUAAAAUUCUGUUGGUAGAGAAGAACGUUGGUGAGAGUGGAAAGCUCAUCAAGUGACGGUAACUACCCAGAAAGGGACGGCUAACUACGUGCCAG
Molecule: ribosomal RNA, 162 nt
Filed under: uncultured bacterium
Lineage: Bacteria
Description: partial 16S ribosomal RNA
Rfam family: Bacterial small subunit ribosomal RNA
Source: RNAcentral